This 216-nucleotide long non-coding RNA is filed under the name Brassica rapa (field mustard). RNAcentral describes it as "long non-coding RNA (BRAP_LNC001256)". Lineage: Eukaryota; Viridiplantae; Streptophyta; Magnoliopsida; Brassicales; Brassicaceae. The record is from RNAcentral.
GUUUGUCGACUGUUGGGACGUCAACUUCAAUUGAUGGAUGAGUUGUAUGGCGAGAUCGUUGUUUGAAGUUGUUUACUAUGCCACCAGCUGUGUCAUAGAACUCCUUUGUAGCCUUCUGUUCUGGAUUGUUGCGGUGAUGCAUGAACAGAUUGUCUGCUCUAUUGGAUGUCUGAAGAAUAUCUGCGAUAUCUUUGCGAGAUACGUGUAGUGUGCGGC